UAAUUUAUCUAAUUAGUAUUUUUUUUAAAGUAAAAGCAAAAUAAUUUUGAAAAACAAAAAUGCGAGCCAGCACGGCUCGACGCAAUCUAUGUUCAGCUUAGGCUAACCUUUGAAACUUUGGGCAAGACAAAGGUACGAUCAGCUAAACUCAGGGUGUCAUUUCGUGCUGGCCCACAUGUCCUUGUGAGCCUAGCCGCCACGGUCUUCUAGUAAUCUCCAGUUGCAGUGAGACAAGGGCAUAAGCGUAACUAUGUUAAAACGCAUUAGGUGUGAGAAUAUUUAUGAAAAAUUAGAGUUUUUACUGAAAUUUAUUCCUUUUAUGUAUUUUUUUCUUCUUCUUUUUUCUGUAUUACAACCUUUGCCAAACCAAAAUUUGGGUUUUGCGCUUUAUCUAAGGAAAGUCAAUCCCUUAACCGAUUACUUUAAUUAAAUUAAUUGAAGAAAACCAAACGAGUACUUAAAACUGUGUGUGUAUAAUUUUUCUUUAAUAAGAACAUCUUUAUUUUCAAGUAAGGAUGUUAUUAAAAUAUAAAGAAAU
Molecule: long non-coding RNA, 538 nt
Filed under: Citrus x clementina
Lineage: Eukaryota; Viridiplantae; Streptophyta; Magnoliopsida; Sapindales; Rutaceae
Description: Citrus clementina (C. clementina) long non-coding RNA (CCLE_LNC004735)
Source: RNAcentral